CCUAACACAUGCAAGUCGAACGGUAACAGGAAGAAGCUUGCUUCUUUGCCGACGAGUGGCGGACGGGUGAGUAAUGUCUGGGAAACUGCCUGAUGGAGGGGGAUAACUACUGGAAACGGUAGCUAAUACCGCAUAACGUCGCAAAACCAAAGAGGGGGACCUUCGGGCCUCUUGCCAUCGGAUGUGCCCAGAUGGGAUUAGCUAGUAGGUGGGGUAACGGCUCACCUAGGCGACGAUCCCUAGCUGGUCUGAGAGGAUGACCAGCCACACUGGAACUGAGACACGGUCCAGACUCCUACGGGAGGCAGCAGUGGGGAAUAUUGCACAAUGGGCGCAAGCCUGAUGCAGCCAUGCCGCGUGUAUGAAGAAGGCCUUCGGGUUGUAAAGUACUUUCAGCGGGGAG
This 403-nucleotide ribosomal RNA is filed under the name uncultured bacterium. Its description in RNAcentral is "bacterial SSU rRNA". It matches the Rfam family "Bacterial small subunit ribosomal RNA", at positions 47 to 446 of the family's 1533-position model. The record is from RNAcentral.